This 80-nucleotide transfer RNA is filed under the name Methylopila turkensis. RNAcentral describes it as "tRNA-Cys". Lineage: Bacteria; Pseudomonadati; Pseudomonadota; Alphaproteobacteria; Hyphomicrobiales; Methylopilaceae. The record is from RNAcentral.
CUCGCGCGAGGAGCUGGUCUCCUGGUUCGAGGUCGGCUGCAAGCCGGUCGAAAGCUUCCGGAUCGGGACCGAGCACGAGA